AGUAUAGAUAUUUCUGAACCAAUGAACAAGUAAGCCUGUUAAAAAGCUGAUGUAUCAAAUAAACUGUUUCUUUUCAAGGCCAAGGAACUCCAAUGCAUUUUUGGCGAGGAGCUUAUCCUGUAAGACAAAUGAAACCAGUUCAUGAUAAAUUUAAAGCUAUCUCAUUUAUAUGGAUUUAACUAUUUCCUCAGACCAUAUUUAUUGGAUGGUUGUGUUUUUCUGCCCUUCCAUCUGAAGAUUUGAUGGGGAAUGUAUUCCCACCAAUACUUGCUGACCAUUUAAUGUUUAGCAUGGCAGUAACUAGGUAAGGAUGAAACAUUUGCCUCCAUUUGGGAGGAAGUUGCAUUUCAGAGAACUCUUGAUCACUUGGAUGGUUGGCAGUUUUGUAGCCCAGCAGCACCAAGUCGAAGCGGUGGCAACAGCUGGGACAACAGCCAGCCCCGACAAAGAGGAGGGAAUGAAGGCCAGACUGACAGUAAGUCAGGGGCAACAGGGGCAAGUGGAAUCUGGGCCUGGUGCCUUUACAGAUACAGGAGACCCCCAAAAGAAGUACCUCCCUCCUUCUACAACAGCAACCCACACACAGCUAAAGUUGUCCGGCUACCCUUUUGGAAUAGGCCUUGCCCCACCAAAAUGUAGGUGAGGUGGUUUGAAGAAUUUUGCUGUUACAGACCAAGUGAACAGGGUCGCUACUGAAACAAAAAAACAAAGAUCUGCGGAUGUGGAUGCUUGAGUUUUAAACAAAGGUCGCUGCACCCAAAACAUUGACUGUGCUUUCUAUCUCCACAGAUACCACCAGGCCUGCUGAGUUUCUCCAGCAAUUUCUGUCUUUCUUUCAGGGUUGCUGCUGGCUUUGUCUUGAAAGGAAGUGGUUUGUCCAGACCAAAAUCACUGCGAUUAAUCUACAGCCAAUCCAAAGUUUAAAACGCCUAUCAUCUGCAGCAGUGCAAAGGUUGCAACAACAACUUUGUCUGAAACACUCCAUAUACUGAAUCUUAAAAUAAAGCUCCCAAAAUUCUAACAAAUGCAACCAGUAUCCCUUUUUGAGUAGGGACCUGUUGACAUUUUUUCUUUGGAGUUUAUGAACUUUGAUAUUGGAAUUGUAUGAGUGAAUUUUCAGUGUUUGCUUUUUUGUGUCAGUUAUUUAUUUAUGGAAGUUUAUGACUCAUUAUGAGGAAAGUUGGACAGCAGGUAUUACAUUUGGUGGGGUUGUCCAAUGGAGAUGGUCAGAUUGUGAGUUGAUUUACAUCCAAACUUGAGGUGGGGAGAGGCAGAAGAUAUUUUCCCAAACCAAGGGGAACUGUAUGUUAAAUUUGAUCAGUAAUUUGAAAGCAAAUGAAUCCAAUUAACAUCUCAAGAAUAUUAAUCAUCCCAAUAAUUACAUGUCUACCAGUGCUAAUUAAUAUCCUGCCUGAGGAGAAUAGAUUACCCCUGUGUAUCCAAAUAUGCCUCUAUUAAAGAUGGGAGUGAUGUGUUGGAUUGAGUGUGGUCCCAAUCCAAAAAUUAAUUAUGUUUACUACCUAUCCUUUUCCAAUUUACCCAUUGUUGGGGUGAAAUUUUCCUUUCAUAUUUGAGAACCAAAAGAGCAACAUAUGCAGCUGACCUAGAUGUAUAUUGGAACAUUGUUCGGGAUUGAGAGUAUAAUUUUUAUCAGGCUUCCUAAACUGAGUCAGCAUCAAGGAUGGAAAGUAGCAGUUGACUUUCCAAGUAUUAAUCCUGCUGUUUCUGCACUGUAGUUAAUUUUCAGAUAAUGAUAUGUCAGUUGGCAUAAUCACUCUUUGAGUUAGGAGCUGGUAGACUAAAAGCCCAUUCCAAAUUUGGUCACAUUCUAGACUGACAUUUCAGUGCAGUACCAAAUAUUGCACAAAUUGGAGCCAAGAGAGUGGAGAAAUGUCAGAGUGGGAUCUGUAUAUGUCAGGAGUGUAUAUCAAAUCUAAGAUGACAAAAGACGCAUGUGGGAUACAAAGAGCAGAAUAAAGGCCCAGGAGUGUACAGACGGUGAGCAGGAUGGAAGUUUGACAGGAGAACAGAGAAUUAUCAUGGUGGCCAAAAUUGGGUUUUCUUUUUCAAUAAUCCAAUUGGCCUGCGAUGCAUUUAUUGUUAAUGUGGAGUGCUUAUCAUUAAUGUAGACAUGCUGUAUUAUAAUAUUAUGCACACACAAUGCUUUGAAUAAUGCAGAUCUCAACAUUAAUCUCACUUUAAGUUCAUCGCUGAAUUCUUCAAUUGAUUCAAUAAGGGUUCCUGGUUUCAGUUCUCCCAGUGGGAAUGGAUAAUCUGUCCCCAGCAUCACCUUGUCCUAAACACAAGAGACAGUUAUUGGGAUCAUGUAUAAAAUUGUUUUUUUACAGAUAAAGAUUUUAGUACAUAAUUCAACAGAAGAAAUGCUGUGGAAGCUGUAAAUCUAAAGUUAAAAGAGAAGAGGCUGGAAAUACACAGGCCAACCAAACACUUCCUUUCAGCCUGCAAGUGUGACUCUGAGAUUCCAGUUGUCUGUUGUAGUGUUCAGUUAGUCUGUGUUCAACUAAGUGAGUCACCUUGAGAUCAUAGACAUAAUAGCGUUGUUUCUCAUUUGAUGUUAGCACGGAAGUAUCUAAUUUCAGGAACAAAUUCUACUCUUAAUCUUAUCUCACUACUGUGAUAGACUUAUUCAGGUUUAUGAUGACUCAUUGAUUCUGGUUGGGGAAUGAUCGCACCUUCAGCAUACAUCACAAAGAUAUCAUCUUAAACAGGUUCAUAUUCUAUUUAGCCAAAAGCAGAGCUUUAUGGGAGUAAACCUUAACUUGGUUUCAAACUUGAAGAUGCCACUGGAGCAGACAUUAAAAUGAUUAAUAAUACAGACAAUAUAAGACAGAAUCUUCCUUAUUUUCCAGAUUUGGAGAGAUUAAUGGAUUUUGUCAAGUUCCUCUUGUGGACACAUCAUUCCUACCAGGUUGACAAAAAUUGAAAUGGUUGCUGUUUCCAAUCCAUGCUUAAUUGCCACCGGAGCUGAAGUAAUUAGAAACAGACAAUAAAACUGAGCAAAUUAGUUCAUCUUCAUGGAUAUCCAGUUCAUUCAUUGCACAAUGCAAAAAUGGUGAACUUAGACUAUACAUUGACAUUGAAAUGGUCAGCAACGUUAUUAUUACAAUUCUCCACUUACUAUGAUCCAAGACUUAUGAAUUAUUGGUACCUCUAAGAGAGCAAAGCCGAUACUUUUUGUUUUGUUACACGUGAAGGUGUGCUUCAACACUGCAGAGUGCUCUCUGAAUGAAUUUCAACAGCCAGAAGUUAAUUUAAUCAAUCUUGCCAAAUAUUAAAGGACGCUCAGUCUACUUUAUGACAUUGUUGUCUCAGGGACAGUACACAGUUUUUGGUAAUCGCUGGUACUCACUCACCUUGCAAAACUUUUUUAUGUUCAACAAGGACUUACACAUAAUUAUGGCACUCAAGAUUGACUCUUAAGGGUAUGAAGUAACAGCAGCCAGAGUAAAGUCUACAUAUGAUAAUAUUAAAACUAUUCAUGUACUUCAUCCUUUCAUAAAAAUGAAAGAAUUGUUAUUUUCCUUAAUAUUACAAAUGUUUACCACAACCUAUCUCUAAACACACAGGGAUAAUGGAGCCUAUUUGAAAGUUACUGCCAAAGGAUAUAUGGGAAUGGACGAUUGCACAGCAGACAGCAUUUGAAAUACUAAAGGCGAACAUAACAUCUGUGGCAGACCUUGUGCUUUUCAACCCACAUGCAGAAACUUAUGUCACAACUGAUACAGCAGGAAAUGCGAUAGGAGCUGUCUUUUCCCAGAAGAAGUGCUGUGAAAAGCAAGCUCUGGGAAUGAGAGAGAAACAACCGACAUAUCCAGUCUUAUCAUCAAAAUUGCUGUUUGAGCAACAAAUAAAAAUGUCAAUUCAUUUCUCUGACAACACAAUGUGGAGCUGGAGGAACACAGCAAGCCAGGCAGCAUCAGAGGAGCAGGAAAGUUGAUGCUUCCGGUCAGGACCCUUUAUAUCUCCGAGAAAAAGCUUAUGGAAUUGCAAGUUACACCCAUCCUGCAAGAUGUUUGAUGACUUUCCACUUUAACCCCUGCGAUGGGUUACAGACAGUUGCUUAUUUAGAAUGCAGAUCUUUUCAAAAACUUGUUCAUGGGAUGUCGGCGUCAUUGGCUAGGCCAGAAUGAGGUGUCCAUCCCUAAUUGCCCACUGGCCAAGUUAAGAAUCAAGUAGAUGGCCAUGCAUCUGGAGUCACAUCAAGUAAGGAAGGCAGAUUUCCUUCCCUAAAAGACAUUAGUGAACCAGAUGGAUUCUUACAACUGUCCACGAUAGUUAAAUGAUUGCAUUAGGCAAGCUUUUUAUUUCAGAUUUGAAUUAAAUCCAAAUUUCACUAUUUAUCUCAAUGGUAGCUGCUUCUGCCCAGGAGGCAUGGUCACAUGACUCCACAGUAUUGAACUCAAUUGCCUUUUUAAUUAUAAAAUUCUGAAAUAGCAGACAUGUGAAUGAAUUAGUGUUUCUCCAUAGCACAUCUACUGACAAAAUCUACACCCCAGCUCCAGCUACAAUGUAAAGAACAGCCAGCAAAAGCCUUUCAUCAAAACAGUGUAGUUGAUGUCACAAUUCAGAAAACGUUCCUCAGAAGACUUUUGAAGAAACUUUUAAAAGAGAAGAAACUCCCUACAACUCAUCAAUUUCUGGUAAACCAAUAAACUCACCCUCACAAAGGAAUUAUAAAGUACAGGUAGUUCUGCUAUAACACAUUUUUUAUUAACACGAAUUGGCUGUAAUGCGAUUGAUGAAUAGGGGUCGCUGUUUGGAUAAUGCAAAUUUUCUGCUGUACAGGUUUCGCGAUUUUCGAUAGUGAUUUCCCUAUAAUGCGAUUUUCUGUGGAGAUUUUCUAUGCAUCGAUUUUCUAUAGUGCAAGGUCAUGCAAGAAUGCAACUAUUGUGUAAUAGGAGAAUGACCUGCAACUCCAACCCAACAUUUGGGCUCCAUCUUAAAGCAAGGGCACUGGUCAUCUGGUACCUGUUGGUUGUUUUACAUUUAAAUGGUUACUGAUUGAAGAACCUAUUUAUCUGUUCAGAUUCUAUAUCUCCGUGUAUGCUUGUUAAGCGUGCUUGCGAUGUCAGAUUUUCCCUGUUGCAGAGAGUAAAAUAAACUACUUCUGGUUUAACUUUA
Molecule: long non-coding RNA, 5142 nt
Organism: Rhincodon typus (whale shark)
Lineage: Eukaryota; Metazoa; Chordata; Chondrichthyes; Orectolobiformes; Rhincodontidae
Exons: 2
Source: RefSeq, a predicted model, not a curated record